Molecule: ribosomal RNA, 462 nt
Filed under: uncultured bacterium
Lineage: Bacteria
Description: partial 16S ribosomal RNA
Rfam family: Bacterial small subunit ribosomal RNA
Source: RNAcentral
GACGAACGCUGGCGGCGUGCUUAACACAUGCAAGUCGAACGGAAAGGCCCUUCGGGGUACUCGAGUGGCGAACGGGUGAGUAACACGUGGGUGAUCUGCCCUGCACUUUGUGAUAAGCCUGGGAAACUGGGUCUAAUACCGAUUCUGACCACGCGCUUCAUGUUGUUUGGUGGAAAGCUUUUGCGGUGUGGGAUGGGCCCGCGGCCUAUCAGCUUGUUGGUGGGGUAAUGGCCUACCAAGGCGACGACGGGUAGCCGGCCUGAGAGGGUGACCGGCCACACUGGGACUGAGAUACGGCCCAGACUCCUACGGGAGGCAGCAGUGGGGAAUAUUGCACAAUGGGCGCAAGCCUGAUGCAGCGACGCCGCGUGAGGGAUGACGGCCUUCGGGUUGUAAACCUCUUUCAAUAGGGACGAAGCACAAGUGACGGUACCUAUAGAAGAAGCACCGGCCAACUACGUG